AUAUAGUAAGGUAAUGUGAAAUGCUGAUGGAGAUGAAAAAUUCGAUGUUUUUGGGAUAAUUUGGACGUUUCUAUUGAAGGGGUCAAAAUGACCACACGUCUGUUGCUGCGUGACAAUAUUUUCACGUCUGUGGUUAAGGGUUAAUCAUAAUUUUUUUAUAUUGAUAUUUAUUAUAUGUUUUUUUUCCAUAUGUGCUUGCAUAUUUGAUGAUAAAAGGUAAUAUAAUAAACCCAUGUAUAAAAUUUGUAGUACUUUUUUAAACCGUUUGAGUAUAGAGGAAGAUGUAUACUUUUGGAACGUGAGGCUGAAUUUGUCCUUUGAUAGGAAAAAUAUGGCACUUUUAUUCCCAAUAACACUCACUAUUUCAUUUCCUCAGUCUAUUUCUAAAAAUAUUUCGGCUUUUUUUUCUGAAGAUGAAAGAUAUAAAAUUUUAAAAAUUUCAUAAAUUUUGAAUUUCCUAAAGCUCAGUUACACUUGUUGCUACAUUAUAUCGAAUAUAAAUUUAAUUAUCUAUAAUAUUAUUGAUAUACUGAACUAUCUAAAAUAGAAUAGAAAUUAAAAAAUAUUUUCUUUCAGGUAGCACUUGAUAAAAUUCAUUUUUUUCUGAAAGAAAUUUUAGAUAACAUGAAAAUCUGUACCAUACAACCUAAAGUACCUAAAUAUGAUUCACUUAGCUAUUUCAAUACUAUUCUCAUCCAAAUAUCUCAAUAUUUUUCCUAAAAAAAAAAUUGAAAGCGCGUUAUUCCCAUAGCCAUAUCAAGCUAUUUCAAUUCUAUUUCCAUCCGAAUAACUUAAUAUUUCUCAUUAAAAACGCUUUAUUCCCAUAGCCAUUUAGCUAUUUCAAUAAUCAACUAAUGCGAAAAACUCAAUAUUUCUCCAAAAAAAAAUUAAAAACGGGCUAUUCCCUUAGUAAAUUCGCAUUUUCUGCCUUUCUACUUCCUUCCUUCACAACACCUCUCUCUCUUCGAUAGUCCGCAGAGCGAAGCGAGUAGAAGCCACGUGAGGGCUAGUCCAUGUUAUUAUAGGUCUAUGAUCCAAUGCCCUUUGCAGGGCGAGUAACCAACUAUCUUCUACUUAAGCAAUGAUAUUACUCAUAAUUCUCCAAUAUGUAUUUAGGGUUGCAUACCCAAAUACCGUCGCUUUAAUAAUUUGGCUUUGUUCGUAUAAUUAUUUAAGUUUAUCAAAGUUGACAUUGAAUAAAUAAAUAAAUAAACUAAUUUAAAUACACGCAGUUUCUUUUCAGUUCUUCUGCGAGUUAUUGUCUGAACCGACUUUCUUUGAUUUUGUUUUAUUUUCUCUGUGGCUGUUCCACUGGUCAGCUUUAGGUUUUCAAAAUUUGCUUGAAUUAUCUUUUAUUAAAUUUCAUUUCAUAAGAAACGUAUAUAUUUAGAUAAUGUAUACAUUUCCUCUGCUAAUACUGAGAUGUAUCUACACAUGCUUUAUAGUUUGAAGUUAAUACAUAAUAUUAUGCGGGAAGUUGAAUUCUUUCACUCCUGACAAAAUCAGAGUAGCGCACUUAAUUCAGACCCACAUCACAUUCGAGGAGAACUUCAUUGUGACUCAGGGAGAGGGAGCUUUGAAAUUAAGACCAUGUUGUGUUCAUGUAAAACAGGAAAUAGCGGUAGAUAUAAACACAUUUCGGCUGUUUCAAUCAAGUGUACAAGGUGCAUCAUUUUACUAAUUCAAAAAGGCGUUAUUGUUCCAAGUUGAUUUUUAAUGAGAAUGAAUUAUGUGCUUAUUGUAUUUGUUCAUUUUCUGCAAUUUUUGUUUCGUUUUAGGGAAAAUCUUGAAGAUCUUGAGAUCAUUUCUCAAACAGAAAUGAAAUGUGUUUGGUCAGCUCAAAAUCACAUAACAAACGAAAAAUAUAAAGCUGUUCCCAUGAAAGACAUGCCAUAUUUUCAAAAUAAAAUUGAGCAGUGUGAAUUGGAAGUUGAUAACAAUAAAAUCUAUAAUUUUUUUAUAAGCCAAUUACCUGAAUCCGCAAUUUCUAAACCAUUGGAAGGAGAAGUUUCAGUCACAAAAUUUUGGAAAAAAAAGUUGGGCCUGACAAUAAUGAUCUUCAAGCAAUUUUGGACAAUGCAUGUCAGUCUAUUAUCAUUUUGGAUACUUCAAUUAUAUUAGUCUAUAAUGAAAAUGUUGCAAAAUAUUGUAUUCAGAACUGUUCAGUGAGGUUUCUGAUACAAUAAUCAACAUUUGUCAACAAUCUAAAGAGUGGCAUGAACAGAGGAAAAUUUACCUGUUAAUCUAUAUUUAAUAUAGAUUAACAGGUAAAAUUUUAUAUAAUUUUAUAUAAAAUGUAAAUUCAAUCGAAAUGUAAAUUACUGGCUGGAAGACUUCGGUCGAUAGCCAUUUGAUAUGUAACCAAUAAAGUUCUCUCUCUCUCUCUUUUA
Molecule: long non-coding RNA, 2390 nt
Organism: Harmonia axyridis
Lineage: Eukaryota; Metazoa; Arthropoda; Insecta; Coleoptera; Coccinellidae
Exons: 2
Source: RefSeq, a predicted model, not a curated record